Molecule: ribosomal RNA, 456 nt
Filed under: Cooperia oncophora
Lineage: Eukaryota; Metazoa; Nematoda; Chromadorea; Rhabditida; Trichostrongylidae
Description: eukaryotic LSU rRNA
Rfam family: 5.8S ribosomal RNA (bases 1-150)
Source: RNAcentral
UAGCUUCAGCGAUGGAUCGGUCGAUUCGCGUAUCGAUGAAAAACGCAGCUAGCUGCGUUAUUUACCACGAAUUGCAGACGCUUAGAGUGGUGAAAUUUUGAACGCAUAGCGCCGUUGGGUUUUCCCUUCGGCACGUCUGGUUCAGGGUUGUUAACGAUAUACUACAGUGUGGCUAACGUUUUAACACUGUUUGUCUAAUGGCAUUUGUCUACAUCUGUUUUGACAAAUCCCGUUAUAGUUCAAGAAUUACAUAUGCAACAUAAUGUUCGUAUAGUAAUAUGAACAUUUCUGAAUGAUAUCAAUCUAUUAUCACUGUUUAAAUGUACUCAAUGAAUAUGAGAUUGAUUUAAACAGGGACAUGUUGGAGAUAGUAGUAUUCGUUAUCAUUUGUAUUGCAACCUGAGCUCAGGCGUGAUUACCCGCUGAACUUAAGCAUAUCAUUUAGCGGAGGAAAAG